RNAcentral lists this ribosomal RNA (497 nucleotides) under uncultured bacterium. Its description in RNAcentral is "partial 16S ribosomal RNA". It matches the Rfam family "Bacterial small subunit ribosomal RNA", at positions 28 to 507 of the family's 1533-position model. The record is from RNAcentral.
GAUGAACGCUGGCGGCGUGCCUAAUACAUGCAAGUCGAGCGAACAGACGAGGAGCUUGCUCCUCUGACGUUAGCGGCGGACGGGUGAGUAACACGUGGAUAACCUACCUAUAAGACUGGGAUAACUUCGGGAAACCGGAGCUAAUACCGGAUAAUAUAUUGAACCGCAUGGUUCAAUAGUGAAAGACGGUUUUGCUGUCACUUAUAGAUGGAUCCGCGCCGCAUUAGCUAGUUGGUAAGGUAACAGCUUACCAAGGCAACGAUGCGUAGCCGACCUGAGAGGGUGAUCGGCCACACUGGAACUGAGACACGGUCCAGACUCCUACGGGAGGCAGCAGUAGGGAAUCUUCCGCAAUGGGCGAAAGCCUGACGGAGCAACGCCGCGUGAGUGAUGAAGGUCUUCGGAUCGUAAAACUCUGUUAUUAGGGAAGAACAAAUGUGUAAGUAACUAUGCACGUCUUGACGGUACCUAAUCAGAAAGCCACGGCUAACUACGUG